Molecule: ribosomal RNA, 460 nt
Filed under: uncultured bacterium
Lineage: Bacteria
Description: partial 16S ribosomal RNA
Rfam family: Bacterial small subunit ribosomal RNA
Source: RNAcentral
CCUACGGGUGGCUGCAGUGAGGAAUAUUGGUCAAUGGGCGGAAGCCUGAACCAGCCAAGUCGCGUGCAGGAUGACGGCCCUAUGGGUUGUAAACUGCUUUUAUACGGGAGUAACGCCCCUUACGUGUAGGGGUUUGCAUGUAACGUAUGAAUAAGGACCGGCUAAUUCCGUUCCAGCAGCCGCGGUAAUACGGAAGGUUCGGGCGGUUUCCGGAUUUAUUGGGGUUAAAGGGGGCGUAGGCCGGAUGUUAAGGGUGCUGUGAAAUGUCCGGGCUCAAACCCGGACUUGCCGCGGAAACUGGGGUGCUUGAGUGAGCGGGAAGCAGGCGGAAUUCGUGGUGUAGCGGUGAAAUGCUUAGAUAUGACGAAGAACCCCGAUUGCGAAGGCAGCUUGCUGCAGCGGAACUGACGCUGAUGCACGAAAGCGCGGGUAUCGAACAGGAUUAGAUACCCUUGUAGUC